Molecule: unclassified non-coding RNA, 217 nt
Filed under: uncultured Russula
Lineage: Eukaryota; Fungi; Basidiomycota; Agaricomycetes; Russulales; Russulaceae
Description: sequence contains ITS1
Source: RNAcentral
UAGUACAACCGAGGCGCUCGGGCUGUCGCCGUCCUCAAGGACGAGCACGCCUGGAGUGCUCUCUCACGUCCAUCUCACCCCUUUGUGCAUCACCGCGUGGGGCCCUUCUCUCUUUUGGCUUGUUCCGGAGAGGGGAAGGGGGUUCACGUUUUUACAAGAACGACCCAUUAAUGCAUGUGUAGAAUGUGUUCCAUUUUGCGGUCAAACGCAAUCAAUA